AAUUGAUUAGUCUAAAAAAGACAAUUGUUUUGAAAACAAUAAAUGGUAGUUUAAUAAUCCCUCAAUUU
RNAcentral lists this transfer RNA (68 nucleotides) under Lachesilla rufa. RNAcentral's name for it is "tRNA-Ser". Lineage: Eukaryota; Metazoa; Arthropoda; Insecta; Psocodea; Lachesillidae. The record is from RNAcentral.